This 250-nucleotide ribosomal RNA is filed under the name uncultured bacterium. RNAcentral's name for it is "partial 16S ribosomal RNA". It matches the Rfam family "Bacterial small subunit ribosomal RNA", at positions 355 to 603 of the family's 1533-position model. The record is from RNAcentral.
UAGGGAAUAUUGGACAAUGGGUGCGAGCCUGAUCCAGCCAUGCCGCGUGCAGGAAGACGGCCUUCUGGGUUGUAAACUGCUUUUGCCAGGGGAUAAAAAGACCAUGCGUGGUCAAUUGAAGGUACCUGGUGAAUAAGCCACGGCUAACUACGUGCCAGCAGCCGCGGUAAUACGUAGGUGGCAAGCGUUGUCCGGAUUUAUUGGGUUUAAAGGGUGCGUAGGCGGUCUUAUAAGUCAGUUGUGAAAUACU